AGAUGAGCAGCGCUCCGGCCAGGGAGGGCGCGUGCUGGCCAGCCCGGAACGGGUGAGAUCGCUCCAGCCCGCCUCUGUGCCCACUCCCCUGUGCGCCCUGCCGGCAGAGCGGCACCCCCGCUGUCCCUGGCGCCCAGUGGGGGCGGCAGCGGGCAGGGCAGCGGGGACCACCGGGGCUGGGGGCUGUUGAGCCCGUGGAGUCCGGCUCGGUUGGGGAGAAGGACGAUGCGCGGCGAGCCCAGGUGAUCCGGGGCUGGGGUCCUGCGCCCGCAGCCCCUGGCCCGCGCCUCACGCUCGCCGGCUCCCCAGCGCGGGGGCUGGAGCCCGCACCCGAGGGGGCGGCAGGGAGGGCGCAGGCAGCGGCUGGGAGCGCAGCGGCAGCGGCGGCAGCAGAAGCUCGGCUCAGCGGCUGGGGGUGGCCGCUCGAAUCUGCCAGGGCACCUCGCUCCCUCGCCUCUGGCAGCGGGACCCUGUGGGCAUUGAAAUCCAACUCACUCAUGCUUAUUUCCUGUAAUGGACAAACUUGAUGCUAAUGUGAGUUCUGAGGAGGGUUUCGGGUCAGUGGAGAAGGUGGUGCUGCUCACGUUUCUCUCGACGGUUAUCCUGAUGGCCAUCUUGGGGAACCUGCUGGUGAUGGUGGCUGUGUGCUGGGACAGGCAGCUCAGGAAAAUAAAAACAAAUUAUUUCAUUGUAUCUCUUGCUUUUGCGGAUCUGCUGGUUUCGGUGCUGGUGAUGCCCUUUGGUGCCAUUGAGCUGGUUCAAGACAUCUGGAUUUAUGGGGAGGUGUUUUGUCUUGUUCGGACAUCUCUGGACGUCCUGCUCACAACGGCAUCGAUUUUUCACCUGUGCUGCAUUUCUCUGGAUAGGUAUUACGCCAUCUGCUGCCAGCCUUUGGUCUAUAGGAACAAGAUGACCCCUCUGCGCAUCGCAUUAAUGCUGGGAGGCUGCUGGGUCAUCCCCACGUUUAUUUCUUUUCUCCCUAUAAUGCAAGGCUGGAAUAACAUUGGCAUAAUUGAUUUGAUAGAAAAGAGGAAGUUCAACCAGAACUCUAACUCUACGUACUGUGUCUUCAUGGUCAACAAGCCCUACGCCAUCACCUGCUCUGUGGUGGCCUUCUACAUCCCAUUUCUCCUCAUGGUGCUGGCCUAUUACCGCAUCUAUGUCACAGCUAAGGAGCAUGCCCAUCAGAUCCAGAUGUUACAACGGGCAGGAGCCUCCUCCGAGAGCAGGCCUCAGUCGGCAGACCAGCAUAGCACUCAUCGCAUGAGGACAGAGACCAAAGCAGCCAAGACCCUGUGCAUCAUCAUGGGUUGCUUCUGCCUCUGCUGGGCACCAUUCUUUGUCACCAAUAUUGUGGAUCCUUUCAUAGACUACACUGUCCCUGGGCAGGUGUGGACUGCUUUCCUCUGGCUCGGCUAUAUCAAUUCCGGGUUGAACCCUUUUCUCUACGCCUUCUUGAAUAAGUCUUUUAGACGUGCCUUCCUCAUCAUCCUCUGCUGUGAUGAUGAGCGCUACCGAAGACCUUCCAUUCUGGGCCAGACUGUCCCUUGUUCAACCACAACCAUUAAUGGAUCCACACAUGUACUAAGGGCUGUUAGAGGAAACAGGAAUUCGACUUCUUCUGCAUAAUGUGAGGGAGAGAGGUAAGAAACAAAGGAUUGAGGUUAUAAGAACAUGUAUUUCAGCACAAAAUGGAAUGGAUUGCCUUACUAGGGAGUUCCUAGUAAAGUUGAAGGAGACAAUUGGAUGACCAUCAGUCAAUUAAAAGUGUUGAUUGACCGAAUAUCAGUAACUGGAAGAACUGAAUGUUCAUUAGUCAACAUUUCUGGGGAAGAGGGAUGCAGUGGAGUGUGGUGGCCAGUGGGAGAGUCAGUGUCACCCGCCAGCAACUUCUCCUUUGGUGGCUGCUCAGCCCAGUGACACUUAGGCCCCUGGGACAAUGACCCAGAAGACAGCCAUGCCUCCGAAAGAGGGCCAGGUCCUAAGCUGCUGCUUGUGCGCGACUGCACCCGGUAUUCUCUUCACCUGAGGCUUUCCGUCCGCCAGUGCAGGAACCCGGUGCUCGCUGGGCUUUUCCUCUGAGAUUCCAGCAGGUGGCGCUGGAGGGAGUCAGGGGACAUAAUGGCCUCCUUGUUCACUUUUUAUUUCCCAACACUCCCUCUUCCCAGAUUCUCUGCUUUUGCCGCGUGGUCUCUGGUGUCUCUGACAUGUUCCCGUCACUCACUGUGUCUGAUCUGUCUCACUCACGUUCUAAGCACGAUAGCUUGCUGCGUCCUAUCUCGGUCACUGAUGUCUCCAAAUACGCCUUCUUUGCUGUGUGGGCUUCCAGAUAUCAACAAAAUACUCCCUCUCUGUUCCUGUCUUAGCCAGAGGCGUCGCUCCUGUCUUGCUUACUUGCUUGGUCACGUCCGUCACAGCCAUGUUCAAGCUAUCCCCUGCCUCUUCUUCGCCCUGUUCUGUGCCAGACGCUAACACACUUUUCUCCCUGUGUCUGGGUCCAAACGUGCAUCCUCUUGGUUGGCCCCCUUGUCAGUCCCAGACGUCCACUUGCUCUUCCUUAUGUCCAAUGUCUGUCCUCCUCUUCAGGACAUGCUCCAUUUAUUUUCCAUGGAAGACACAGGGUCAGAGAUCUGUCAGAGGAAAAUGGUCUCCACAGCAACUCUGGAGGGAAGCUGAAGACAGAUAGCUUCCUCCUGGUGUCCUGGCCGCUGGCGUGUCUGCCCUGAGAUGCUCGCUCUCCUGCUGGGCUAGAACGGGACGUCUUCUAAAAAGCCUUGGGCAGGGCUAGCAACAUCGUAGGUGUUUAUUAGGCUUCAGGAUCUUUCCCAUGAACUUGUGAUAUCAUUUUGAAACCCUUCAAUCUGGCUUUGUUGCUGCCAAAGGAGAUAACUGUUGGAAGUUCACACUGGGGAAACUCAUUUUCCCCUGCAGCUCCCCCAAGGUGCAGGAGGGCAGGAUCCAGCAGCACUGGGGAUGCCGAGGCAAUGCUGUACUUGAAGCCAGAGGACCCAAAUUGCCGCCCUGGCUGUGCUGCAAACAAGCUGUGAGAUCUUGAAUAGUGUUCUUUCAUCUCUGGACCCCACUUUCCACAUCUGUGCACUCAAGCUUGGACUAGAGGACCUUUAAGUUUUCUUUCUGUUUCUAAGACAACAGUAUGCUGCUAUAGCCGUCUGCUACCUCGAGAAGCCAUGGCCUGCCUGCCUUUUGGCUUUGUUUCAAAGGAACGACCCUCCUCAUUUGGGCCUUUUAGACCCCUGACCUUUCCAGCUUUGUCCUUCAGAUUAAUCUGGAUGUCUUUUAUUCAAAGCUGAGUCAGUGGCUCUUGCGAAUGCCCCAUAGCAGAAGUCCCGGGAAGGUAAAUGCCAAACCCAGAGCCAUGUGAGAUUCUGACUUUGAUCUUGGCUGUGGUUUAAUAGCAUCUCAGGAUUAUUUAUCAUAUUCUCUUUUUUUCUUAUUGCUUAUAAGGUGUCAGUUAUUGUUUCCAUUGUUGUUUACUUUAGUUCUGGAACUGAAACCGACAGGAAGAAACUUUGGAAUAAGGAAGAGAAGAUUGACCAAACCAUCCAAAUGCCAAAAAGAAAAA
Molecule: RNA transcript, 3583 nt
Organism: Homo sapiens (human)
Lineage: Eukaryota; Metazoa; Chordata; Mammalia; Primates; Hominidae
Gene: HTR4
Gene name: 5-hydroxytryptamine receptor 4
Exons: 8
Source: RefSeq, marked reviewed